Non-coding RNA from Drosophila virilis, 548 nucleotides. NCBI's taxonomy places the organism in Eukaryota, Metazoa, Arthropoda, Insecta, Diptera, Drosophilidae. The record is from RefSeq and is a predicted model, not a curated record.
CAAUAAUAAACCCUUUUCAAUUCUACUUGACAUAUAGCAACAUUAAUAAACUUAUUCGAGAACCGUUCGUUUAAAUGAGGAAAAAAAAUUUGCAAUAUGUGGACAUCAGGUAAUCCAAUACGCAGCAUGGAACCACUGAACCAUGGAUGAUUCAAAAUGAAAGAGCGAAUUUUAUCUCUGUAGCUGUAGCUGGGCUCGUCUUUCAACAGCUGUGCCACGAUCAAAAGUUGACUGCUCUUUGUUGGAUGCUGCUUGUUUAUAAAUCAAGUCGCCCUAAGCGUAUUAAUGAAAGCAGAUUGUUGGACCUGUUCGUGGUUUUCAUCAUCGGUGCGAAUUGAGUAAGUCGUAAACAAGGGCUGGCUAAUAACUUCACUAGAUGCAGCACGCAUCAUUGCAGUCGCAGUCCGAGCUCUAACGAUAACGACAACAAAAUGUUGAUGGCACAAAUUAUAGGCAAGAAAACCACAGCCAAAGACUCUGGCAAUCUGGCCGAGUCAGUCAGUUGGCAGCAAAAGUGGCAGUAGCUGCGGCAGCAGUGGAAAGUAAGC